UAUUAACAUCUUUGUCUUAAAAACAGUAUUUAUUUCGGAUAAAUACUGACGUAAUAAUUAUUGAACUUAUAGCAUUCACGCGGGUUACACAUUUGGGGUACUCACAACGUGUCUUAAAGCAUCGUAAAAUCACAAAAUCAUAAGUUUUUAUGCUAGUGUAAAAAAAUUGUUGUUGGAUUGCAUACUAAAAUAAGUUUACGGAAAUACAACUAUGAACGCUGUGUAUUCGGUUCGUCAUAACUGAUCAGCUGAUUUCUGUUUACAUCAGGUGGCCUUUGUGUUGUGGUUACAUUUGUGUUUAAAUUUAAUUUUCUUUCAAUUUUCUUUUGUCAAGGGUUUUCGGAAUAAUGGAGCAAUAUAAUGUUAUACAGCUAAUAUAAAAAUGCAUAAUAAAUACAAUUUAACUAAUUAAAUGCGCUUUUAGACAAAAGCAAAGCGGGUGCGUUCCAACCCAACCAGAAAGUGGCUGUUUGAAGAAGAAAAGCCAUUGAUUCAAUAUUUGACACAAAACAGGUAUUUUGAGAAACCAGCGUCUCAAAUGUAUUAUAGACGAUUUUCAAUGGAGAGCAACAUUGCGGUGGACUGGAAGCUGACACGCUCGAAGGUUCGUUAUAUGCGUACAACAUAUAAUAUAACAAAGCAAAAGCAUGGGAAGGCUCAACGGGUGCAGGGAGUAUGGAAGGCGAAACUAUGAAGGAUGAAAUUUUCGGCGGUAGAGUGGUUGAGUCAGCAGUAAUCAACGACAGUUUGGGAACAACGAAAAAAAAAAAUUGAGCAAGAAAUGAGUUUUAAGGAGAAAGAGAUGGAAUUAAGUGAAAGGGAAUUGAUGGUUAAAGAAAAAGAAGUGGAAAAGCAAGAAUUAUUACUAAAAGACAGAGAAAUGGAGAUGAAACUAAAAAAUUGGAAAGUAAUGAAAAAUUAAAAACAAUGGAAAUACAAAUGAAAGAAAGAUUGGCAAUAGAGGAAUUGAAACACAAAUACAAAUAAGUGGAAGAAUUGGAAGAAGUGGUGCAAGAGAAUUUUAAAUUUCCUGAAGUGAAUUAAUGUACCUGAAGUUUAUUUUUAAUAAUUACUUUUUAUAUUAAUUUUUAAAUUAAAAAAAAAAUACAUUUUUACAUAUGAAUACUAAUACUAAUGAACAGUGAAUACACGUUUAAAUAAUGAUGUAUUUUAACUUAAUCCAUGAUUUUGUAUGAAGUCAAGAAGACUAGAUCUUGUGUUACUUCCUGGUGGUAUACUAUAUUGAGGUGGGUUAAUUUCAACGCUUUCUUCGCUUUCAAUUUGGAAAUUGAUUAGCAUAUUAUGGAGAAUGCAGCAUACCAUGAUCCACUCAUUGCAUUCUUUUUUAUUUUGGUCAUUUAUCAUUCUAAACUUCAAUUCUUUCAAGCUACCUUUUUUUCUUUUAAAAUGCCAAAAAAAGUCUCAAAUCGCACACGAUAUUUUGAAAAGUACUUAUUGAAACUUUUUCUUUCUUUGGUAGUGUAGUUCGUACUAUUUUGCCUAAACGGUGUCCAGCAGUCCACUGAGAGUUAGAUACAAAUCGUCGAUGAUGUUUUGCAAGAGGGCUAUUCAAGAAGAUUUUGGC
Long non-coding RNA from Bactrocera dorsalis (oriental fruit fly), 1585 nucleotides. RefSeq lists it as uncharacterized. The transcript has 3 exons. Lineage: Eukaryota; Metazoa; Arthropoda; Insecta; Diptera; Tephritidae. The record is from RefSeq and is a predicted model, not a curated record.